This is a long non-coding RNA of Neofelis nebulosa (Clouded leopard), 647 nucleotides long. RefSeq lists it as uncharacterized. Lineage: Eukaryota; Metazoa; Chordata; Mammalia; Carnivora; Felidae. The transcript is spliced from 2 exons. The record is from RefSeq and is a predicted model, not a curated record.
CUUUUCUGUCCGCGGGAGCGUGCCCGUGCCGCCAUGAGAGCUUCCGCCAUGGAUUCAGCGAUGCGGUCACAAACCGCUUCCUGUGGUGGCUGCGGGGCAGGGGUGCAGCCUCGCAGGCCCCAGGUGCGGUGCGUGGUGCAGAAGUCGCUCGUGAUGGGGGCUGCGUGCUGCUGAACGUGUCACAUGGCGAACAGAAGGCCGAGGCCGCCACCCCGCCUCAGGCCUUCGUGAGCCCCAGGCCCGGCGCAGCCACGCAGGGGUGGCUUGCAAGGGGACCACCCCCUACAUCCUCUCCAUCUGAUGCGGUUUCAGCGCACCUUGCAGGUAAGGGUGUAGACCAGGAGGACAGCUGUGAAGUCGACUCCGAAGCGUUCAGGCACUUCCCAUGAAGAACUGGGCUCGGGCUUCACCACCUGCUAGCUGUGUGCGACCCCGGGGCAAGUUCUCCAGGUGCUAAGGUGGCGUCUCCCACGGAUACGACUUGGAUCCCUAGAGCCUCAUGAGCACUGGAUGGCAACGCCCAGGUCAAGCACGGAAGUUGGAUUAGCCCUUCCUACAGAAACAUGCAGCUUCUUGGCUGAGCGGGACCCUUUGCUGAAAUGCUGUCCCUGGGUCCAUCUUAAUUAACCGCCUUCUGUGAAAGCCUA